This 335-nucleotide unclassified non-coding RNA is filed under the name soil metagenome. Its description in RNAcentral is "partial contains 5.8S ribosomal RNA, internal transcribed spacer 2, and large subunit ribosomal RNA". The stretch from base 1 to 120 matches the Rfam family "5.8S ribosomal RNA", at positions 35 to 154 of the family's 154-position model. The record is from RNAcentral.
GAUGAAGAACGUAGCGAAAUGCGAUAAGUAAUGUGAAUUGCAGAAUUCAGUGAAUCAUCGAAUCUUUGAACGCACAUUGCGCCCGCCAGUAUUCUGGCGGGCAUGCCUGUUCGAGCGUCAUUUCAACCAUCAAGCCCCCGGCUUGUGUUGGGGACCUGCGGCUGGCGCAGGCCCUGAAAACCAGUGGCGGGCUCGCUAGUCACUCCGAGCGUAGUAGUUACAUCUCGCUCAGGGCGUGCUGCGGGUUCCGGCCGUUAAAAGCCUUAUUUACCCAAGGUUGACCUCGGAUCAGGUAGGAAGACCCGCUGAACUUAAGCAUAUCAAUAAGCGGAGGA